GACGAACGCUGGCGGCGUGCUUAACACAUGCAAGUCAAACGGGAAGGCCCUGCUGUUGUGGGGUGCUCGCGUGGCGAACGGGUGAGUAACACGUGAGUAACCUGCCCUUGACUUUGGGAUAACUUCAGGAAACUGGGGCUAAUACCGGAUAGGAGCUCCUGCUGCAUGGUGGGGGUUGGAAAGUUUCGGCGGUUGGGGAUGGACUCGCGGCUUAUCAGCUUGUUGGUGGGGUAGUGGCUUACCAAGGCUUUGACGGGUAGCCGGCCUGAGAGGGUGACCGGCCACAUUGGGACUGAGAUACGGCCCAGACUCCUACGGGAGGCAGCAGUGGGGAAUAUUGCACAAUGGGCGGAAGCCUGAUGCAGCAACGCCGCGUGCUGGAUGACGGCCGUCGGGUUGUAAACCGUAUUCGACUGUGACGAAGCUUUAGCGACGGGAAGGUCUUAAGAUGUAGCGUCUAAUCACGGC
RNAcentral lists this ribosomal RNA (468 nucleotides) under uncultured bacterium. RNAcentral describes it as "partial 16S ribosomal RNA". It matches the Rfam family "Bacterial small subunit ribosomal RNA", at positions 28 to 508 of the family's 1533-position model. The record is from RNAcentral.